This 274-nucleotide ribosomal RNA is filed under the name uncultured bacterium. Its description in RNAcentral is "partial 16S ribosomal RNA". It matches the Rfam family "Bacterial small subunit ribosomal RNA", at positions 523 to 796 of the family's 1533-position model. The record is from RNAcentral.
AUACGGAGGGUGCAAGCGUUACUCGGAAUCACUGGGCGUAAAGCGCGCGCAGGCGGCCAUUUAAGUUGGAUGUGAAAGCCUACGGCUUAACCGUAGAACUGCAUCCAAAACUAUUUGGCUAGAGUGUGGGAGAGGAAGAUGGAAUUAGUUGUGUAGGGGUAAAAUCCGUAGAGAUAACUAGGAAUACCAAAAGCGAAGGCAAUCUUCUGGAACACUACUGACGCUGAGGCGCGAAAGCGUGGGGAGCAAACAGGAUUAGAAACCCCUGUAGUCC